This 440-nucleotide ribosomal RNA is filed under the name uncultured bacterium. Its description in RNAcentral is "partial 16S ribosomal RNA". It matches the Rfam family "Bacterial small subunit ribosomal RNA", at positions 338 to 795 of the family's 1533-position model. The record is from RNAcentral.
CCUACGGGUGGCUGCAGUGGGGAAUAUUGGACAAUGGGCGAAGGCCUGAUUCAGCCAUGCCGCGUGAGUGAUGAAGGCCCUAGGGUUGUAAAGCUCUUUUGUGCGGGAAGAUAAUGACGGUACCGCAAGAAUAAGCCCCGGCUAACUUCGAGCCAGCAGCCGCGGUAAUACGAAGGGGGCUAGCGUUGCUCGGAAUCACUGGGCGUAAAGGGUGCGUAGGCGGGUUUCUAAGUCAGAGGUGAAAGCCUGGAGCUCAACUCCAGAACUGCCUGUGAUACUGGAAGUCUUGAGUUCGGGAGAGGUGAGUGGAACUGCGAGUGUAGAGGUGAAAUUCGUAGAUAUUCGCAAGAACACCAGUGGCGAAGGCGGCUCACUGGCCCGAUACUGACGCUGAGGCACGAAAGCGUGGGGAGCAAACAGGAUUAGAUACCCCAGUAGUC